AUAAACAAACGAAGGGCCCCAGCCGCCAGCGCCGCGUGCCGGCCUUGGGCCUCCUGCAGCGCGGGUCACGUAGGCAAGCCUCCAGCGGCGGCGGAGGGGGUGGGGGCGGCCGCCGGCCAAUAUUACUGGCCUCUACGCGCGACUAGUUCGGCAGUCGUCCGCCGAGCGUCGCUGCGCCGCGCCAACGGCCACAACAGGAUGGCUGUUGGCAAAAGAAUGGUGUGCGUUCCGGCCAGGUGACGACUCGCCUCCCCAUAGCAGCCAGAGCUAUUUUCCCACAAUUGCAUCUUGGUACCAACAUCAGGCAACUUCCCCAUAAUCGCACAGUGGUAUCGUCAACAAGCUGCUUCUCCGUACUCGCAACAUGGUAUCAACAACAGGCUGCUUCCCUAUGAUGACGCCAUGGUAUCAACAAGUAGCUGCUUCUCCGUAUUCGCAACAUGGUAUCAACAACAGGCUGCUUCUCUGUAGACACGAUUUUUCAGUGUGACAAGACUUCUUCUCCAAUUAUCAGCAACCGCCCUAGGCUAUGGCGUUGCACAGUUUCUUGUGCUGGACUGGACUCAAUGUGUCAACUGUGCUGCAAAAUGACCUCAUUCUCCGAAUUUGGCAAGAGACAUGGACUCAUUAACUAACACGCAAAUGAGCAAUACAGAGCGUGAGUGAGGGUAGACUCUUGACAAUAAGGACAACACAAAAUUCUACGUGCCAUAUUUACCACUUUCUUGUCUUCUAACACAUUAACUGGGAACAAUAUGGGAGAAAUCCACUGAUCAGUCAGAGAUUACUGAACCACAAGAAGAAGGCACAGUAUUUAACGCUGAUAUGAAGUGUUACAAACAACUUCACAACAUUAAAUGUGGCAUAAGAGCUCCGCGUCUUAAGCAAUGAAAGACUGAGAGGCUGACGUACAUUAAAAAAUUAAAAAAAAAAGCUCGACAGAAGAACGCAGUGCCAUAUUGACCUUAUUCUUGCCUCUUCAUAGCCCUGUAUAUAGUACCUGAGAACAGUAAAGACACAAAUUCUACUGUUCAUUCGCCAACCAUAGGUCAGAGUCUAGAAGCGACAAAUUUUCGCCCUACUGCAGGUGUUGUAGUGUCCAGUAUCAAUACCUGCAGUUGACGUAUAAUUAUAUACAGUCACAUAAUGAGAAAUGCAUGAGAAUACCAAUAAGACAAUUUGGCUGUGUGUGGAAUAUGAAUGCGAUCUCUACCCCACUUGAAAGUGGCUUCGCUGUACAGUGCACAUUGGCCCAGAAGAAGAAGAAGAAGAAAAAUAGAGAUCUCUUUGAGCUGGCCCAAUAACAACAAUAAGAGACAGACGUGGCAGAAAGUUUACCUUUACUGAGGAAUCCAUGUAGCUACAGGAAAGAGUCAGGGACUGUUCGUGUAUUCAUGCACGUUCCUCAGCCUGUGCUGAGUUCAACCCCUUGUCCAUUGAACAAAUCCAUCAUAACAAGUCUCCAUUCGUGACGCGGAAAGCAAGAUAUGGACGAAGUAAUGGGUGUAGACAAGGCUGAAGUAGAUCUGCACGUUGGUUCAGUCUUGAGAGUGUUAAUUACAUCUGUAAUAUCAUUUUAAUCCUACUGAAAUGACUUCUUUAAAUGCUACACUGUGCCUGAUAAAGAAAACCGAGUGAAUUCGCUUUUAAUUUAAAAUACGUCAACGUAGGUACUACCUCAGCAUAUGGCGUAAAGAGAAAUUUGUUCAGAAGCUAAACAGGGCCGGCAAGGAGAGGACUUUUAAAGAAGAGUGUCUCUUGUAUCACGCUACACCCAAACACACUGGUAUUGCCAUUGCUCUAAUUUGUGUGAGUCACCUGUCAAGAGUAAUGACUAGAAUAUUGCAUUUUAAUUGAAUUCUUAUGCUCUAUAUCAGCCAAAGGGAACGUCAUUGCUGAUAAUAUUGUGCCUUUCAAAGAAUCUUAAAAACAUGAGGUCACCCACAUCCUCUGUUCCUGAGACUGUUCAAUAUGCCACUCUUGCCACACCCAUCUUAUUAGAUGUAAGUGACUUCUUGAAUUCAGGUGAUAAAACUAUGAAGAGGCUACAACAUGACAAGAAAAUUAGUUCAGUAUCCACUAAUAUGCAACAUCAAGAGGCUAUCAAGAGAGAGGCUAUUGUAAUAAGAGGCUACUUCACUACCCACCAACAGUCCAGGUGACAUCAUGAUUGUGUGCAUCAACCAGUAAUUGUGACCAACCUUGUUUCUGUUUGUGAUGCAGAAAUGUUUCUUCAAGAUUCGUGAGUGCCAGGGGAACAGAAGUUUUAAUGUACAGAACAUUAACUGUGUGGAAUAAUUUCUUUGCUUCGUGACGCGAUAUGUUCAAGGUGCCAAACUCAUCAUUUUCUCGUAGCAGUAGCUUUAAGUUCGCUUAUUGUUCUUGAUUCACAUAACCGCCUGCAAAACGAAGAGGCUAUUCUGAGGCAAGAUAGUUCACUAAGUGGUAUAAACUGUACUCUAUAUGUGAGUCUUAGAAUGUGUUCACUGGAACAUUUCUCAACUCAGUGUGGAUUCUGUAAUGGUUUACUGAGGCUCAAUAAUAAAAGCAACAUCUUAAGCAAUGUAGGCAAAACAUCGAUGUAGGAGAAAAAUGUAGUGUUUUCAAAAUAGAUGUAACUGGAAAUAUCUAAUUGUACUAUCAGAAGUGAAAUUUUACCACACUCUUGUAAAAAUGAGUUGUCUGUACAACAUAGUCUAAAGUGGGCGCAAAAAAAAGUGAAUUUUUCAUUCUGAGCAUGUGUAACAAUGGAAAAGAAACGUAAUAGUAGAACUGCUCGUCACUUUAAGUACCUGUAACUCAGAAAGAGAAGAUCAGUAGAAGGCUAUCUGAUAGGACAUUCACGUACAAUUGGCAAAAUCUCAACUCUUCAUAUGUUUUCUGUGGCAUGGCUUCUGUCAUCAGUACAAAGGAAAACUCUCAAACAAACAAAAAAAAAAGCUUAUUGAAUUUUACAGAAGCAUAAGAAUUUAAUUUACUCGCUCACUUUGCAGGACCACACGUUAAGCACAGCACUCAUUUAUCUCACCUUAUUAACUACCGCAUAUGAUACAGACUGAGAACGACUUAGGAACAAGUCCAUGUUUUUUUAAUAGUGAUAAUAAUGUUCUGUGAGUCUAGUGCCGAUAGCUUUAAAGACUGUAAUAACACACCAACAGUACAAAGAUAGAAUCUGUUUAAAUUAAGACGUAUUUUUCAUCAUCCCAUCGUAUACUUGUACAGCUACCCUAGAUUAAUUUUAAAGUAAUAUUUGUGAUCGAUCACGCUCUAAUAAUAUGUAACUAAAUAAUUUUAGCUUGUAUAAACAAAGGUUCUCUACAGUCAUAAAACGACAGAGUAGCACUGGAAUGAGCUGCGAGCAAAUAUUUCAGUACCCAGACGUUUUUAUAAUCUUUCUUCUUUUCCCUUGCUCCAUGUCCUGUAGGCCCAUUUUCUAUGAUGUGUGAUGCCACUAAGUUAUACAACUGAAAUUUAUUGCUUUCUGCUCCCUUCACCUCUGUGCCAGCUGUUACAGCUGCAGAUGUAACAACUGUUUCAGUGGUGAGGUGGACAUAAUUUUUCCCCAGUCGGAUUCUUUUUGGGUUUUCAAUUCAGUCUGGACAGUGACGACUUUACUAUAGAUUCUUCUCAUCAUAAUACUGGCAGUGCAUCACCGGAGUAGCUUUUGAAAGAAGCAGGAAGUAUGGAGCAGACAUCUAGCAUAACAUCGCUCUUCUUGGGAAUAACAGCGAAUGAUUUCUGAGAGUGCAGUGAGGAAAUGUUAUGCGGAUCUGCACCUACAUUACUCCAAUUUGAGGCACUUUCCUGUUUCUACUUAUGAUAUAAAAUAACUGCAAAGACAAUGGAAGGAAUUUCUUCUAUGAAUGUCAGACUGUAUACCAUUGCAAUUUACAUUGUGUACAAGUCAUUCAAUUCAUAAAACAAUAUUGUGACAUACUCAGCUAAUUGUGAUUAAUCCCCACGUAUAUCAGUCAUUUCUUGUUUCAUUUCAUCAGAGCUCUCUGUGUGUAAGUAAUGUAUUUUUAUUUACAAAUGAAGUCUAUCUAAACAGAUACUCCAACAGACCUUAACUUUAUAAUUAUUGAGCAAACAAGUUGAAAAUCACGGAAUCAUUCAAGCAGAAAUUUUCACUUUACGUUUUCCUUUUCAUCUACAAAGCUAAAUCGAUCUUGGCUAAAGAAUGGAAUCAGUUCAUCACAUGCUUAUGGGUUAAACAGAAAAUGUGUUCUUUGUGAGCAAUUUUCUAUCUACCCUUCCCUUGUUUCUGAGUUUAUUUCAGAAGAUUUCCUAGAGAGAUGGUUAGUGCUUCACAUGUUUUCAUUUAUAAUGUACAGUAAACCUUAUGACGUAUUACUUUCACCUAUCACAAAAUAAACUGCAAUUUUCUCAGUAUUUUGAUAACAUCAUCAAACAACACAGUAAAUUGUAUGUUUUUUCCAUAACGUGUGGAGAAAUCUUGCAGUUUAACUGUACUUUCAUUAAAUUUUGGACUUAUCUCGAUUAAAAAAGCUUUAUCAGUGGUAGUAUGCUAAUUGUUGAUGACCAAUGUAAAAAUGAGUGGCUUGAGUAGUGGUUCACCUUGUCAGUUUCUCGGUUCGAUAUGCACUGCAGUAUCAUGAUGAAUUCUCAAAUGAGUACUAUAAAGAAUUGUAUGUAGUUGUGAUAAAUGUGUCAUAUUAGUAGUUGUUUGGAAUAUGAAGUGAUACAUCAAAAGUUCUUUCUUUGAACAACAUUUUAAAUACUUUGCUUCCUUGCAAGGAUCAAUAAAUUAUUAGGACUUCUAUUAUAAGCUUGAAGCACAUUGUAGAAAAUGUGGGUACUCUUCUCAGAAUGGUUCUCGUGGUUCAUCCUCAGCGAACAUCCAGAAGAGGUGAGGUAUGUAGAAAUAUUUUCAGUGCAUUUCCUAAACUGUUUGUGUAAUUAUCUUUUUAAGAUUUCUACUUUUUGAUUUAAUUGUUCCGCGACCUGACAGAAUCAGAAAAAAUGAGAAGACUGAGCCUGUCACAGUCCAUUUGUUUUUUUCAAGGCUGGAAAAUCUUUCUUCACACUUCACCGAUUUCUGCACUGGCUACUGUUGAAAUUCUCUUCCACAUUAUAUGAUGAAUUAGCAUAUUUAUUUUCAAUAUACUACUGUGUAAUGUUGCUAUCUUUACAUUCAUCGUUUGCAUACAAACAUAAUCAUCUUUCUUUGUUUUUAUGGUGGCCAGCAGUGAUUACAUGAUGUGUAAACGAGAACGAAGACUGAUUAACACCGAAAGUGCAAAAUUAGAUCAUUUCCUUUGGUACAAAAUGGUUUGUAUAAUAGUAGCAUUGUAGUGCUGUUGAUUUUCGUGCAAGUAAGAAUAAUAUUUGUACAGUCACAAGCUCCAUUUAUUUACAAGCAGGUCAUACGAGAUAUUGGCUAUGAUUGUGAUAUAAUAAAUUUUGAUGUUUUUGUGGUUUUUAAAUGUUUAGUUAAGUUUAAUUUGAAGCAUAUCUGAGAAUGAUGUUAUGAAGUAUGUAGUGUAUAGAAUGUUGUAAUGGAUAAACUGAAUUUAGCUGCAUAGGUGCUUUAAGUAAGAGAAUGUCAUCAUAUAUUCAUCAUUUACGAUAUCACUUACUAACUUUUGUUAAUCUACUUUGAGUUGCAAAUUCCUCAGGUCGAGUGGACUAUAGAAUAAGCAAUCUUGUACCUGUUAUAAUGAAAUAGAAACAGCAUCAUUUCGUCAUACAAGUGUCAUGAAGUGAUACAUUGAUUUCUUUGUGUAACAUUUCGCUACUGCUUUUCAUCAUUGCUUGCAUUGUGUUUUCCAAUACUGACAUACUAGAUUAAAAAAUAACUUUAUGUGUAUUGUAGACUUAAGAACCUGUAAAAAAUGCCAAUGGCUCGAUAUUUGGCUUUAUCUCGUAAACGAAUGUAAUUUUUUUUAAAAUGGGCAAGUGAGUUAGUACACCUGAUUAAUGUGCCCUGAUCUCAUUAUUAGUAGGAAGUUUUGGUUUCGUUUUCAGAAUGAAUGAGGAAAGAAUCGAAGAUUGCUUGUGAGAGUGGUACUACCGUGUCUUUCAAAGUAAAUUUAAGAGUCGAAUAUAUUUUUGUAACUAAUAACGGAACAUUAAGUUUCUGAAUGGUGUCUUCCAGAAUAAUUUGGCCCAAUGAUACUCGAAUUACUGUUCACUUACAUAGUAAACAAAAUCUGUAUUUGGACAGCAGAUUUUGUCGAAAAAAGUGACAGUAUAGUGAUGUAGCUACUCUGUGCAUUCACGUUAUGUGUACAGCUCCAUACAUCAGAUAAGUCCUUAGGUUUUAUAUUCAUGUGCAGUCGUAUCAGUAUGCAUUAAACAGAUAACGGCAGUACCUUUAUCGGCGAAAUUUACAUUUAGAAUCUGAAGAGUAGAACAAUGAAUAAAGCUCUAUGUUUGUGUUAAUGAAUUGUUGUUUCUUAGACUAACAUAAUGUCUAAUAUUCAUCUGCAAAGUCCAUCAAUGACAGUAUCAAGGAGAAGCAGCCUGUUCCAAUACCUGCGAAGUACAAUGUUGAUAAAACAUAAUAAAACCAUAAUGAUGUCUUUUUAACAGUAAUGGAUCUUUUAUGUAAAUUUUCUGCUGUACAUUUUCAGAAAUAAAGAUACUUAUUUGGGA
Long non-coding RNA from Schistocerca gregaria, 6618 nucleotides. RefSeq lists it as uncharacterized. The transcript is spliced from 2 exons. Lineage: Eukaryota; Metazoa; Arthropoda; Insecta; Orthoptera; Acrididae. The record is from RefSeq and is a predicted model, not a curated record.